AGAACGAACGCUGGCGGCAUGCCUAAUACAUGCAAGUCGAACGAACACUUCGGUGUUAGUGGCGCACGGGUGCGUAACGCGUGGGAAUCUGCCCUUGGGUUCGGAAUAACAGUUGGAAACGACUGCUAAUACCGGAUGAUAUCGAAAGAUCAAAGAUUUAUCGCCCAGGGAUGAGCCCGCGUAGGAUUAGCUAGUUGGUGAGGUAAAGGCUCACCAAGGCGACGAUCCUUAGCUGGUCUGAGAGGAUGAUCAGCCACACUGGGACUGAGACACGGCCCAGACUCCUACGGGAGGCAGCAGUAGGGAAUAUUGACAAUGGGCGCAAGCCUGAUCAGCAAUGCCGCGUGAGUGAUGAAGGCCUUAGGGUUGUAAAGCACUUUAAGG
This 384-nucleotide ribosomal RNA is filed under the name uncultured soil bacterium. RNAcentral describes it as "bacterial SSU rRNA". It matches the Rfam family "Bacterial small subunit ribosomal RNA", at positions 26 to 440 of the family's 1533-position model. The record is from RNAcentral.